CCUACGGGUGGCAGCAGUGGGGAAUAUUGGACAAUGGGCGAAAGCCUGAUCCAGCCAUGCCGCGUGUGUGAAGAAGGCCUUCGGGUUGUAAAGCACUUUCAGUGGGGAAGAAAGCCUUGGGGCUAAUACCCUCGAGGAAGGACAUCACCCACAGAAGAAGCACCGGCUAACUCCGUGCCAGCAGCCGCGGUAAUACGGAGGGUGCGAGCGUUAAUCGGAAUUACUGGGCGUAAAGCGCGCGUAGGCGGUCUGAUAAGCCGGUUGUGAAAGCCCCGGGCUCAACCUGGGAACGGCAUCCGGAACUGUCAGGCUAGAGUGCAGGAGAGGAAGGUAGAAUUCCCGGUGUAGCGGUGAAAUGCGUAGAGAUCGGGAGGAAUACCAGUGGCGAAGGCAGCCUUCUGGACUGACACUGACGCUGAGGUGCGAAAGCGUGGGUAGCAAACAGGAUUAGAUACCCCUGUAGUC
RNAcentral lists this ribosomal RNA (465 nucleotides) under Vreelandella stevensii. RNAcentral's name for it is "partial 16S ribosomal RNA". It matches the Rfam family "Bacterial small subunit ribosomal RNA", at positions 338 to 795 of the family's 1533-position model. Lineage: Bacteria; Pseudomonadati; Pseudomonadota; Gammaproteobacteria; Oceanospirillales; Halomonadaceae. The record is from RNAcentral.